CGUCUAGGUCUAGAGUCUCAA
This 21-nucleotide microRNA is filed under the name Mus musculus (house mouse). RNAcentral describes it as "mmu-miR-3108-3p". Lineage: Eukaryota; Metazoa; Chordata; Mammalia; Rodentia; Muridae. The record is from miRBase by way of RNAcentral.